RNAcentral lists this ribosomal RNA (502 nucleotides) under uncultured bacterium. RNAcentral's name for it is "bacterial SSU rRNA". It matches the Rfam family "Bacterial small subunit ribosomal RNA", at positions 31 to 518 of the family's 1533-position model. The record is from RNAcentral.
GAACGCUGGCGGCGUGCUAACACAUGCAAGUCGAACGCGAAAGGGACUCGGUCCUGAGUAAAGUGGCGCACGGGUGAGUAACGCGUGGAUAAUCUGCCCUUAUGAUCGGGAUAACAGUUGGAAACGGCUGCUAAUACCGGAUACGCUCAAAAUGAACUUUUUGAGGAAAGAUGGCCUCUGCUUGCAUGCUAUCACGUAAGGAUGAGUCCGCGUCCCAUUAGCUUGUUGGCGGGGUAACGGCCCACCAAGGCAACGAUGGGUAGCCGAUUUGAGAGGAUGAUCGGCCACACUGGAACUGAAACACGGUCCAGACUCCUACGGGAGGCAGCAGUGGGGAAUAUUGCGCAAUGGGCGAAAGCCUGACGCAGCGACGCCGCGUGAGGGAUGAAGGUUUUCGGAUCGUAAACCUCUGUCAGAAGGGAAGAAACUACGUUGUGCUAAUCAGCAGCGUACUGACGGUACCUUCAAAGGAAGCACCGGCUAACUCCGUGCCAGCCGCAGC